RNAcentral lists this ribosomal RNA (526 nucleotides) under uncultured bacterium. Its description in RNAcentral is "bacterial SSU rRNA". It matches the Rfam family "Bacterial small subunit ribosomal RNA", at positions 983 to 1509 of the family's 1533-position model. The record is from RNAcentral.
GACAUCCAGAGAACUUUCCAGAGAUGGAUUGGUGCCUUCGGGAACUCUGAGACAGGUGCUGCAUGGCUGUCGUCAGCUCGUGUUGUGAAAUGUUGGGUUAACGUCCGCAACGAGCGCAACCCCUAUCCUUUGUUGCCAGCGAUUCGGUCGGGAACUCAAAGGAGACUGCCGGUGAUAAACCGGAGGAAGGUGGGGAUGACGUCAAGUCAUCAUGGCCCUUACGAGUAGGGCUACACACGUGCUACAAUGGCGUAUACAAAGAGAAGCGACCUCGCGAGAGCAAGCGGACCUCAUAAAGUACGUCGUAGUCCGGAUUGGAGUCUGCAACUCGACUCCAUGAAGUCGGAAUCGCUAGUAAUCGUAGAUCAGAAUGCUACGGUGAAUACGUUCCCGGGCCUUGUACACACCGCCCGUCACACCAUGGGAGUGGGUUGCAAAAGAAGUAGAUAGCUUAACCUUCGGGAGGGCGUUUACCACUUUGUGAUUCAUGACUGGGGUGAAGUCGUAACAAGGUAAGCGUAGCGAG